RNAcentral lists this long non-coding RNA (1027 nucleotides) under Macaca mulatta (Rhesus monkey). RNAcentral's name for it is "lncRNA (ENSMMUG00000048819.2)". Lineage: Eukaryota; Metazoa; Chordata; Mammalia; Primates; Cercopithecidae. The record is from RNAcentral.
CGAGUGCUAUGCUGAAUAGAAGUGGUGAGAGUGGACAUCCUUGUCUUGUUCCAGCUCUCAGGGGGAAGGAAUGCUUUCAACCAAAAGCCAGUUUUGACUUUUUUGAAGAUGAAAUGUUACAAUAGCAAUGUCAGUUGUUCUGAUUAAUAUGAUGUAAUGAUUUAUCGAACCCUUAGUCCUCACUUUUUUUUUUCCAAUUGAAAAUAAAUCUGAACGGGGACUUUAUAAUUUCCCAUUUGCCUUUGAUUCCUAGCAUUGGCGUCUGCCAUGGAGGGCUCACUAUAUGAAACUGGGGCAAAUCUGAGAAUUACGGGUUUACACCACACAAUCAGCAUCAGAAAUACCUGUGCAGAUCAGCAGUGCUGUAUCACCAAGGAGAAGAAUGAUUCCCGCAGCCGGCACACAGGUUCCGAGGAUGCGUACAGACCAGUCGGGCUGACAGACAUGAAAACAUAUCAGUGUGAUGGAGCAUAACGGAACCUACAAGAGACUAAAGGUACAUGAGGGGAUUCAGUGGGGGCUCACAGAGUGGACAUUCCCCUAUGGCAGGGGCAGGGGUCUGGAAGGUAGGAAAAGUAGGAGGGACAUGUGGGAGCCCCAGACUAUGUUUCUCCCUCCCAGAUGAGGAUGAUUGUACUAUACCUGUGCCAAGGUGGGCAUUACAUUAAAAAAAAAUUUCCACAGGUUAUUGGGGUUCAGGUGGUAUUUGGUUACAUGAGUAAGUUAUUUAGUGGUGAUUUGUGAGAUUAUGGUGCACCCAACACCUGAGCAGUAUAUGUUGCACCCUACUCAUAGUCUUUUAUCCCUCACCCUCCUCCCACCCUUCUCCCCAAGUCCCCAAAGUCCAUUGUAUCAUUCUUACGCCUUUGUGUUCUCAUAGCUCAGCUCCCACUUAUCAGUGAGAACAUAUGAUAUUUGUUUUUCCAUUCCUGAGUUACUUCACUUAAAAUAGUCUCCAAUCUCAUCCAGGUCGCUGCAAAUGCUGUUAAUUCAUUCCUUUUUAUGUCUGAGUAGUAUUCCGUUGUAU